This 497-nucleotide ribosomal RNA is filed under the name uncultured bacterium. RNAcentral describes it as "partial 16S ribosomal RNA". It matches the Rfam family "Bacterial small subunit ribosomal RNA", at positions 28 to 507 of the family's 1533-position model. The record is from RNAcentral.
GAUGAACGCUGGCGGCGUGCCUAAUACAUGCAAGUCGAGCGAACGGACGAUAAGCUUGUUUUUCUGAUGUUAGCUGCGGACGGGUGCGUAACACGUGGACAACCUACCUCUAAGACUGAGAUAACUUUGAGAAACCGGAGCUAAUACCGAAUAAUAUUUUUAUCCGCAUGGUUCAACAGUAAAAGACGGUCGUUCUGUCACUUAUAGAUGGAUCCGCGCUGCAUUAGCUUGUUGGUAAGGUAACGGCUUACCAAGGCAACGAUGCAUAGCGGACCUGAGAGGGGGAUCGGCCACACUGGAACGGAACCACGGUCCAGACCACUCCGGGAGGCAGCGGUAGGGAAUCUUCCGCAAUGGGCGAAAGCCUGACGGAGCAACGCCGCGUGAGUGAUAAAGAGCUUCGGAUCGUAGAACUCUGUUAUUAGGGAAGAACAUAUGUGUAAGUAACUGUGCACAUCUUGACGGUACCUAAUCAGAAAGCCACGGCUAACUACGUG